AAUCAACGCUGGCGGCGUGCCUCAGACAUGCAAGUCGAACGCGAAAGUUCCCUUCGGGGGAUGAGUAGAGUGGCGCACGGGUGAGUAACACGUAGGUAAUCUACCUUUGGAUGGGGAAUAACAACCGGAAACGGUUGCUAAUACCGCAUAAUGCAGCGGCACCUAAUGGUGACAGUUGUUAAAGCGGGGGAUCGAAAGACCUCGCGUCUGAAGAGGAGCCUGCGGCGGAUAGCUAGUUGGUAAGGUAACGGCUUACCAAGGCGACGAUCCGUAGCCGGCCUGAGAGGGCGGUCGGCCACACUGACACUGACAUACGGGUCAGACUCCUACGGGAGGCAGCAGUCGGGAAUUUUGGGCAAUGGGCGAAAGCCUGACCCAGCAACGCCGCGUGAAGGAUGAAAUUCCC
Molecule: ribosomal RNA, 406 nt
Filed under: uncultured bacterium
Lineage: Bacteria
Description: bacterial SSU rRNA
Rfam family: Bacterial small subunit ribosomal RNA
Source: RNAcentral